GGGUUGUGAGGUUAAGCGACUAAGCGUACACGGUGGAUGCCCUGGCAGUCAGAGGCGAUGAAGGACGUGCUAAUCUGCGAUAAGCGCCGGUAAGGUGAUAUGAACCGUUAUAACCGGCGAUUUCCGAAUGGGGAAACCCAGUGUGAUUCGUCACACUAUCAUUAACUGAAUCCAUAGGUUAAUGAGGCGAACCGGGGGAACUGAAACAUCUAAGUACCCCGAGGAAAAGAAAUCAACCGAGAUUCCCCCAGUAGCGGCGAGCGAACGGGGAGGAGCCCAGAGCCUGAAUCAGCAUGUGUGUUAGUGGAAGCGUCUGGAAAGGCGCGCGAUACAGGGUGACAGCCCCGUACACAAAAGCGCAUGUGCUGUGAGCUCGAUGAGUAGGGCGGGACACGUGGUAUCCUGUCUGAAUAUGGGGGGACCAUCCUCCAAGGCUAAAUACUCCUGACUGACCGAUAGUGAACCA
RNAcentral lists this ribosomal RNA (466 nucleotides) under Salmonella enterica. Its description in RNAcentral is "partial 23S ribosomal RNA". It matches the Rfam family "Bacterial large subunit ribosomal RNA", at positions 1 to 497 of the family's 2925-position model. The record is from RNAcentral. Lineage: Bacteria; Pseudomonadati; Pseudomonadota; Gammaproteobacteria; Enterobacterales; Enterobacteriaceae.